UUGAUGCCAUGCUUCCAGGAAAAGCCUCUAAGCAUCAGGUAACAUUAAAUCGUACCCCAAACCGACACAGGUGGUCAGGUAGAGAAUACUCAGGCGCUUGAGAGAACUCGGGUGAAGGAACUAGGCAAAAUGGUGCCGUAACUUCGGGAGAAGGCACGCUGGCGUUAGGUGAAAGGACUAGCUCCUGGAGCUGAAGCCAGUCGCAGAUACCAGCUGGCUGCAACUGUUUAAUAAAAACACAGCACUGUGCAAACACGAAAGUGGACGUAUACAGUGUGACGCCUGCCCGGUGCUGGAAGGUUAAUUGAUGGGGUCAGCCGCAAGGCGAAGCUCUUGAUCGAAGCCCCAGUAAACGGCGGCCGUAACUAUAACGGUCCUAAGGUAGCGAAAUUCCUUGUCGGGUAAGUUCCGACCUGCACGAAUGGCGUAAUGAUGGCCAGGCUGUCUCCACCCGAGACUCAGUGAAAUUGAACUCGCUGUGAAGAUGCAGUGUACCCGCGGCAAGACGGAAAGACCCCGUGAACCUUUACUAUAGCUUGACACUGAACAUUGAGCCUUGAUGUGUAGGAUAGGUGGGAGGCCUUGAAGUGUGGACGCCAGUCUGCAUGGAGCCAACCUUGAAAUACCACCCUUUAAUGUUUGAUGUUCUAACUCGGCCCCAUGAUCUGGGGUGAGGACAGUGUCUGGUGGGUAGUUUGACUGGGGCGGUCUCCUCCCAAAGAGUAACGGAGGAGCACGAAGGUUAGCUAAUCACGGUCGGACAUCGUGAGGUUAGUGCAAAGGCAUAAGCUAGCUUGACUGCGAGAGUGACGGCUCGAGCAGGUACGAAAGUAGGUCUUAGUGAUCCGGUGGUUCUGAAUGGAAGGGCCAUCGCUCAACGGAUAAAAGGUACUCCGGGGAUAACAGGCUGAUACCGCCCAAGAGUUCAUAUCGACGGCGGUGUUUGGCACCUCGAUGUCGGCUCAUCACAUCCUGGGGCUGAAGUAGGUCCCAAGGGUAUGGCUGUUCGCCAUUUAAAGUGGUACGCGAGCUGGGUUUAGAACGUCGUGAGACAGUUCGGUCCCUAUCUGCCGUGGGCGUUGGAAGAUUGAGAGGGGCUGCUCCUAGUACGAGAGGACCGGAGUGGACGAAUCACUGGUGUUCGGGUUGUCAUGCCAAUGGCAUUGCCCGGUAGCUAAAUUCGGAAGAGAUAACCGCUGAAAGCAUCUAAGCGGGAAACUUGCCUCGAGAUGAGUCUUCCCUGGGGCUUAAAGCCCCCUGAAGGAACGUUAAAGACUAUGACGUUGAUAGGCUGGGUGUGUAAGUGCAGCGAUGUAUUGAGCUAACCAGUACUAAUGAUCCGUGAGGCUUAACCUUACAACACCGAAGGUGUUU
This 1374-nucleotide ribosomal RNA is filed under the name Yersinia pestis. Its description in RNAcentral is "bacterial LSU rRNA". It matches the Rfam family "Bacterial large subunit ribosomal RNA", at positions 1594 to 2925 of the family's 2925-position model. Lineage: Bacteria; Pseudomonadati; Pseudomonadota; Gammaproteobacteria; Enterobacterales; Yersiniaceae. The record is from RNAcentral.